RNAcentral lists this ribosomal RNA (468 nucleotides) under uncultured bacterium. Its description in RNAcentral is "partial 16S ribosomal RNA". It matches the Rfam family "Bacterial small subunit ribosomal RNA", at positions 28 to 507 of the family's 1533-position model. The record is from RNAcentral.
GACGAACGCUGGCGGCGUGCUUAACACAUGCAAGUCGAACGGAAAGGCCCUGCUUUGGUGGGGUGCGCGAGGGGCGAACGGGUGAGUAACACGUGAGUAACCUGCCCUUGACUGUGGGAUAACGUCAGGAAACUGGGGCUAAUACGGGAUAGGAGCUCCUGCUGCAUGGUGGGGGUGGGAAAGUUUCGGCGGUUGGGGAUGGACUCGCGGCCUAUGAGCUUGUUGGUGGGGUAGUGGCUUACCAAGGCUUUGACGGGUAGCCGGCCUGAGAGGGUGACCGGCCACACUGGGACUGAGAUACGGCCCAGACUCCUACGGGAGGCAGCAGUGGGGAAUAUUGCACAAUGGGCGGAAGCCUGAUGCAGCCACGCCGCGUGCGGGAUGACGGCCUUCGGUUUGUAAACCGCUUUCGCCUGUGACGAAGCGUGAGUGACGGUAAUGGGUAAAGAAGCACCGGCUAACUCCGUG